This 74-nucleotide transfer RNA is filed under the name Bacteroidota bacterium. RNAcentral describes it as "Bacteroidetes bacterium tRNA-Gln". It matches the Rfam family "tRNA". Rfam says of the family: Transfer RNA (tRNA) molecules are approximately 80 nucleotides in length. Their secondary structure includes four short double-helical elements and three loops (D, anti-codon, and T loops). The record is from RNAcentral. Lineage: Bacteria; Pseudomonadati; Bacteroidota.
UGACCCAUGGUGUAACGGUAGCACAGCAGAUUUUGGUUCUGUUAGCCAAGGUUCGAAUCCUUGUGGGUCAACUA